This 253-nucleotide ribosomal RNA is filed under the name uncultured bacterium. RNAcentral describes it as "partial 16S ribosomal RNA". It matches the Rfam family "Bacterial small subunit ribosomal RNA", at positions 524 to 776 of the family's 1533-position model. The record is from RNAcentral.
UACGGAGGGUGCAAGCGUUAUCCGGAUUCACUGGGUUUAAAGGGUGCGUAGGUGGGCAGGUAAGUCAGUGGUGAAAUCUCCGAGCUUAACUCGGAAACUGCCGUUGAUACUAUUUGUCUUGAAUAUUGUGGAGGUAAGCGGAAUAUGUCAUGUAGCGGUGAAAUGCUUAGAUAUGACAUAGAACACCCAUUGCGAAGGCAGCUUACUACACAACGAUUGACGCUGAGGCACGAAAGCGUGGGGAUCAAACAGG